Molecule: ribosomal RNA, 468 nt
Filed under: uncultured bacterium
Lineage: Bacteria
Description: partial 16S ribosomal RNA
Rfam family: Bacterial small subunit ribosomal RNA
Source: RNAcentral
GACGAACGCUGGCGGCGCGUCUAACACAUGCAAGUCGAACGGAGCUGAGAGAAGCUUGCUUUUCUUAGCUUAGUGGCGAACGGGUGAGUAACGCGUGAGUAACCUGCCCUGGAGUGGGGGACAACAGUUGGAAACGACUGCUAAUACCGCAUAAGCCCACGAUCCGGCAUCGGAUUGAGGGAAAAGGAUUUAUUCGCUUCAGGAUGGACUCGCGUCCAAUUAGCUAGUUGGUGAGGUAACGGCCCACCAAGGCGACGAUUGGUAGCCGGACUGAGAGGUUGAACGGCCACAUUGGGACUGAGACACGGCCCAGACUCCUACGGGAGGCAGCAGUGGGGGAUAUUGCACAAUGGGGGAAACCCUGAUGCAGCGACGCCGCGUGGAGGAAGAAGGUUUUCGGAUUGUAAACUCCUGUCGUUAGGGACGAUAAUGACGGUACCUAACAAGAAAGCACCGGCUAACUACGUG